UCCAGACUUUGAUUCUGGCUCAGAAUGAACGUUGGCGGCGUGGAUUAGGCAUGCAAGUCGAGCGGUAAGGUUCCUUCGGGAGCCCUAGAGCGGCGAAAGGGAUAGGACAAUAUGGAUACGUGCCUCUUAGCUCAGGAUAGCGACUGGAAACGGUCGAUAAUACUGAAUGACGUAUUAGUACGAAAGGUGAGAUUCCGCUAGGAGAUCGGUCCAUAGCCUAUUAGCUAGUUGGUAGGGUAACGGCCUACCAAGGCGAAGAUGGGUACGGGGCGUGAGAGCGCGACCCCGAUCACUGGGACUGAGACACUGCCCAGACGCCUACGGGCGGCUGCAGUCGAGAAUCUUCGGCAAUGGACGAAAGUCUGACCGAGCGACGCCGCGUGCAUGAUGAAGGCCUUCGGGUUGUAAAGUACUGUCGAUUGGGCGGAAGUUAGAGGGGGUACUCCCUUUCUUUUGACCUAUCAUUUGAGGAAGGACGGGCUAAGUUCGUGCCAGCAGCCGCGGUAAGACGAACUGUUCGAACGUUAUCCGGAAUCACUGGGCUUAAAGGGCAUGUAGGUUGUAUACUAAGCGGGGUCUAAAAUCCCACGGCUCAACCGUGGAACUGGGCUUCGAACUGGUAAACUAGAGUGAAGUAGAGGUAAGCGGAACUUGGGGUGAAGUAGUGAAAUGCAUAGAUAUUCCAGGGAACACCGGUGGCGAAAGCGGCUUACUUGGCUUCAACUGACACUCAAGUGCGAAAGCUAGGGUAGCGAAAGGGAUUAGAUACCCCUGUAGUCCUAGCCGUAAACGCUGAGCGCUUGUUCGAGGGGGAAUUUUCCUUCUCGAGCGUAGCGAAAGUCUUAAGCGCUCCGCCUGGGGAGUAUGGUCGCAAGGCUGCAACUCAAAUGAAUUGACGGA
This 900-nucleotide ribosomal RNA is filed under the name uncultured Planctomycetota bacterium. RNAcentral describes it as "bacterial SSU rRNA". It matches the Rfam family "Bacterial small subunit ribosomal RNA", at positions 1 to 917 of the family's 1533-position model. Lineage: Bacteria; Pseudomonadati; Planctomycetota. The record is from RNAcentral.